Molecule: microRNA precursor, 86 nt
Filed under: Camelus bactrianus (Bactrian camel)
Lineage: Eukaryota; Metazoa; Chordata; Mammalia; Artiodactyla; Camelidae
Also listed under: 1 other name
Description: mir-544 microRNA precursor family
Rfam family: mir-544 microRNA precursor family
Source: Rfam by way of RNAcentral
AUCACCUGGGGAUUUUGCUAAAAUGCAGAUUCUGAGUCAGUGGGUCAGGGACUCUGUAUUUCUAACAAGCACCCAGGUGAUGGUGA